AGCGAACGCUGGCGGCAGGCCUAACACAUGCAAGUCGAACGAACUCUUCGGAGUUAGUGGCGGACGGGUGAGUAACACGUGGGAACGUGCCUUUUGGUUCGGAAUAACUCAGGGAAACUUGUGCUAAUACCGAAUGUGCUCUUCGGGGGAAAGAUUUAUCGCCAUUAGAGCGGCCCGCGUCUGAUUAGCUAGUUGGUGAGGUAACGGCUCACCAAGGCGACGAUCAGUAGCUGGUCUGAGAGGAUGACCAGCCACACUGGGACUGAGACACGGCCCAGACUCCUACGGGAGGGAGCAGUGGGGAAUCUUGCGCAAUGGGCGAAAGCCUGACGCAGCCAUGCCGCGUGAAUGAUGAAGGUCUUAGGAUUGUAAAAUUCUUUAACCGGGGACGAUAAUGACGGUACCCGGAGAAGAAGCCCCGGCUAACUUCGUG
Molecule: ribosomal RNA, 433 nt
Filed under: uncultured bacterium
Lineage: Bacteria
Description: partial 16S ribosomal RNA
Rfam family: Bacterial small subunit ribosomal RNA
Source: RNAcentral